GAAGUACAGCAGUUCCAAGAGAACAAAAGACAAUGAGAACAGAACUUGAUAAUUCAAAGAAAGAAUACCGGAAAAAAAAGAAGCCGGAGCCAAUAUUAUUCUCUUGAAAACCAAAGAUGAAAAGAAUUCAAGCACAUAGGUACGUCAAUUCAAUAGCAAAGAUGUUAACAGUAAUCUGAUAAUACAGAAGAAAGUUUCCAUUUCUCCCCCUCACAACAACAUUUUUAAACACAUACCUACUGUCUAAAUAAAAUAGAAAAACAUGUUACUCUUUUUAAGCAUAUGGUGUCAUCCUUAAGAUAGCAUCUGCAAAAGAUUUU
This 320-nucleotide unclassified non-coding RNA is filed under the name Hevea brasiliensis (rubber tree). Lineage: Eukaryota; Viridiplantae; Streptophyta; Magnoliopsida; Malpighiales; Euphorbiaceae. The record is from RNAcentral.